GAAUAGAACCAUAGGAUAUCAAAUCAGAAAGGACACGCAACAACCAUCGAGUCCAACUCCUGGAUCCAUAAAGUACUACUAAAAAAUUACACCUUUAGGAAGGCUGGGGGAUAUCUUAGUCCUCUGUCACAGUAUCAUGAAUGUCUCCACGAGAAAGCUGUUUAAUCCUUACAGGAAAGAAUUGCUCUGAAGGCAGAGUGAACAUUACCAGAACCGAUCAUGGUGACAUCCCUUCUCACAGUCAGCUCCAGGGGAAAGGUCCUCCCAGCACCCGGGAGUGAAAUCCUAGAAAGUAUCAAAACACACUUGUUUGAAAAAUAAAUAGAUGUACAUAAAGCCAGAAAAGAAAACAGUGUAUUCUUAAUGCUCCAUUAUUAACGGUACUCAGUAAGGGAUUUUCUGCUUUGCUGGAGCAUGUAACAGGCUUAAAUAAGAAUCCCUAUCAGAACAUAUCUUUGUAAUUAUGCAGAUAAUAUUUUUGCUACUGUAAUGACAACAUAAACGCUCACAAACUGCAUUGGUUACACAUCUCUGAAAUACAGAGAUGUCUCUGAGCUUGCACUUCUGUGAAGACCACAAACACAUCACCUCGACCAACACUUCAGUCUGCAGGCAUUUCAUAGCGUCAUCCUUUGUUUUGAUGACUGCUCAUGUUUGUGAUCUCAGCAACCAUCGUGGAAUACAAACACAGCACUGACAUGCCUGCAAGUUGAGGGUGUUUUAUUGCUCUGGCAAUGGGACCGAACCCUUCCACAGCCAGUCUUGUAAACAGAUACAUCCCUUGCUGAAGAGCUGAGAUGUCCUGAUUACCAACACUUCUGCCAUGUCUCACAGCUUCCUAAACGCCAACUGGAAACCAUCUUGGUAUUACACUGUGUCAUCGCGGUAUAAGAACAAAUAAAGUCAAGUUUAUUGAGUU
RNAcentral lists this long non-coding RNA (919 nucleotides) under Gallus gallus (chicken). RNAcentral describes it as "lncRNA (ENSGALG00010017078.1)". Lineage: Eukaryota; Metazoa; Chordata; Aves; Galliformes; Phasianidae. The record is from RNAcentral.